AACGAACGUUAGCGGUGUGGAUUAGGCAUGCAAGUCGAGCGCGAAAGCCCGCAAGGGUAAGUAAAGCGGCGAAAGGGUGAGUAAUACGUAAUCAACUUACCCCUGAGAUCGGAAUAACCGACGGAAACGUUGGCUAAUGCCGGAUGGCCCCUCCGGGAGGCAUCUCCUGGUCGGUAAACGGUGGCGUAAGCUGCUGCUCGGGGAGGGGGUUAUGGGAUAUCAGCUAGUUGGUGGGGUAAUGGCCUACCAAGGCGAUGACGUCUAGCCGGUCUGAGAGGAUGGUCGGCCACAUUGGGACUGAGACACUGCCCAAACUCCUACGGGAGGCUGCAGUCGAGGAUCUUCCGCAAUGGGCGAAAGCCUGACGGAGCGACACCGCGUACAGGAUGAAGGCCU
Molecule: ribosomal RNA, 396 nt
Filed under: uncultured bacterium
Lineage: Bacteria
Description: bacterial SSU rRNA
Rfam family: Bacterial small subunit ribosomal RNA
Source: RNAcentral